This 497-nucleotide ribosomal RNA is filed under the name uncultured bacterium. RNAcentral's name for it is "partial 16S ribosomal RNA". It matches the Rfam family "Bacterial small subunit ribosomal RNA", at positions 28 to 507 of the family's 1533-position model. The record is from RNAcentral.
GAUGAACGCUGGCGGCGUGCCUAAUACAUGCAAGUCGAGCGAACGGACGAGAAGCUUGCUUUUCUGAUGUUAGCGGCGGACGGGUGAGUAACACGUGGAUAACCUACCUAUAAGACUGGGAUAACUUCGGGAAACCGGAGCUAAUACCGGAUAAUAUUUUGAACCGCAUGGUUCAAAAGUGAAAGACGGUCUUGCUGUCACUUAUAGAUGGAUCCGCGCUGCAUUAGCUAGUUGGUAAGGUAACGGCUUACCAAGGCAACGAUGCAUAGCCGACCUGAGGGGGUGAUCGGCCACACUGGAACUGAGACACGGUCCAGACUCCUACGGGAGGCAGCAGUAGGGAAUCUUCCGCAAUGGGCGAAAGCCUGACGGAGCAACGCCGCGUGAGUGAUGAAGGUCUUCGGAUCGUAAAACUCUGUUAUUAGGGAGGAACAUAUGUGUAAGUAACUGUGCACAUCUUGACGGUACCUAAUCAGAAAGCCACGGCUAACUACGUG